UAGGUUGUAUUCGACGGUGUUUAGCUCGCAGUUGUUCGUCGAACUGUUCUCUCAAUUGUUUAACUGACUUCCCAAUGGUCGGUAAAUCAUUAAAUUGAUUAGUGUUUGUGAUUCGCCUUGCAUCUACUACUGGAAUUACAUUUUCAUUAGUAAAUAAAGUUAGGUCAAUUGUCAUACUUGUAGUGGGCACAAAGUCUGUAUAGUUUUUUGUGAUCCCCAAUGCAGCCGGUAUCAACAGAUCGUACGAUGCGUAUGCUUUGCAUGUUUCGGGUAGUGAUAAGGCGCCAACGUCGUUUAUGGUAUGAGCGAUGGACUCCUUUUUCCCGUCGCAAGCGAUUACAAGCGGUUCUUCGGUCGUUGCGUACAGCCAUUGGUUCUUCAGUUGCAAUUUGUGAAAUAACGUUGUUUCCAGUUGGAAGUACAUCAUUUCACAAUUUUCUGAUGGACGUCUCCACUUGCAGUUGAAUCACUGAGGACUCUUGGACUUCCUCUAAAAAUCCGACUUCUGACACCAAUUUACGUACUGCACCAAAAGAUUUAAGCAGCACACUUAUAAGACUUAGAAGAUAUGUGAAAGUAUGGUUAAAAUUGAUAUGGACUAUCUCCACUUAAAUUGAUAAUUGUUAUGGUCUGCAACAACACUACUGCCAACCGAAAAUUUGGUAUAUUAAAUUCAUGUAGUCAAUCAGUCUAAACCAAUUUCAUCAAUACAUUGCCGCAUGUUGAGACGUAUUCAAUUUUCAGUAAAUUUAUAGCAGUUUUAUUCUAAGGGUACAGAUGCCAGUGUUUAACUAACGCCUAGCAGCCCAACUCAUCUCAAAACUAGCUCGGGGUACGGAUGGAGCUCGUUGACGUUCAAGUCGUAACAGUCUCUCAAGUGAUUCCGCAUCAUCGGUCCUGUACAUCUUUAUGGCUUCAUUUUUAUCCGUUAAGAUACAAGUACGGGUAGUUGUGUUAAUUUGAAUUUCUUUUAUGUAUGAUUGUGAAUCUUGUGAGCUCAAGUAUAAUCCUAGCAAACGACACUUCCGUAAUAAAGAGGCAUUAUUCUCUACAGCUUGCACAGAUCCUGAUCAAAAAUUAAAACAUUUUUUUUAAAUUUACUAAUAUUCGCUUACCAGUUACUUUUCUUUGUGGUGCAAGACAAAACUGUUUUAUUUGUUAAUACGAUGUGAUAAAAAAAGAAUACAAUAAUUUUUAUAAUAUAUAGAGUAGCGGUUCUUUACCCACGGUCGGAAACCGUGACAACUUAUACAUGUCUGGUCAAUUGUUCACAUAUCUUAUCAGUAGAAUACACUUUGGACAAAUUUUUUUCCAACCUUAUAUUCCCAUAUUAUAUUAUAUUAUCAUGCCCAAAAAAAGUGCGUAUAUAAUAUAUGUAUGCAUAUUUUAUAAAUCUAUAGUAUUUUGAACUGAUUAAAUUAUUAUCUUGUAUUUUUACUCUUAUGUCUUUAUAGAAGUACAACAAAAUGAUAAUGAUAAUGUGAUAAUAUUAUCGUUGUAAUAUAAUCAUACUUUAUAAUGCAAAUAGGGGUUUAGAUAAUGUACAGUCUACUGAUAAGAUAUUUGAACGAAUGACGGUUAUACUAGGUGACAUUUGUUUCCGAGCAAGUAGAUAAAGAAUCGAUUAUUCACAUAAUAUAAAAAAAAGUUUUUCAGCCGAGUCUGCAACCACGAAAGAGCAUUUUCAUGUCUCGUUGAAGUACCGAAUAAAUUUAGAUAAGUUGUGAAAUUAUAAUUAAAAAAAAAAAUUACAUGGAGCUUCCAGUUACAGCAUAAGUCCAAGAAGAUUAAAAAAUUAUUUACAAUCAAGUUUCUGGCUAAAAUUGUAAUGUUUAUUAUCUGGCCAAAAGUAAAUUAACAUAGAGAAUUUAACUAUUUCGAAUUUAUUAUCUAGUUCUAAUUUGAACGUUGAACGUACAGCAUAUCUCAAAUCUCUUAUCUUAUAUAUCUUACCCCUAUCCCCUACCCACUAUCUUCCGUCCCAAUCACUAAUCCCAUACCCAUUCCCACCCCUAUCUCCCACCCCUAUGUCCUGUCCCCAACCCAAACCCUAUCCCACCUCCACCCCUUAUCUUCUACCCCUAUUUCCACCUCCAACCCAUCUACGUGUGGUAACGCUCUUUUGGUAAUGAUUUUUUCGUUACGCUUUUUUUCGGUUAUUUGCCAGAGCUAAUUCAACCCCUUUCCCAUUCCCACCUCAUCUUCAACCCCAUUUCUUUUUUGGUAACGCUCUUGUGGUAACGCUUUUUUCGGUUAUGUGCCAGAGCUAAGACAAAUGUCAAAAAAGUGGAGCGAACGUUAUUUAUGUCUGAUUAUCAAAAACAGUAUUACCGAUAGGGGUCAAUAUAAUUAUUAAUAGCAGAUAAACCAAAAAAUAUUCAUUUUAAAUUCAAAUCUUUAUUAAGUCAUAACAAACGAACAGAUAGUUGAAAAUUAGAAGCUCAAACGCUAAAAUUGUUUUAAAAAUGUUGUCUACAGAUUUAUAAAAUUAAAAACAUAAGUUUUCAUUUAAAAAAACCAAAUGCUAUAUGCUUGUUUAACAUAUAAGGGUUGAAGAUAAGAAUAUUCUAAAUAUUGGAAAAUUUAGUAAAAUAUGUACCUAAAAGUUUAGGAAAAAAAAAUUUUUCAAAAUAUUCAUAUUUUCCGAGAAAAGGAGUGUCCUACGUUAGUUGGAUCACUCUGUAUAUAUUUAUAUAUAAAUUAUAGAGCCGCAAGGGCACUCUCCUAGGGUGAAGAGUUUAACGACCCCACAUACCCUAGUUGCGUUGGGCCCCUUAAUAAUGGAGUUUUAGAGCGGGGUUAAUCUCACUACCCUUUAAAAAAAAAUCUAUAAUUUUAGAGCAACAAAAGCCUCGGAACGUGGAGCUUACGGAUUUAUGUAUUGGAACGUUAUCAAUGUAUAGGACUGGAACUUUGACGACAAUUAUAUCGUGUCUUAAUUGAUACAGAUUGGAUAUAACGGUAGUUCAAGAUUAAGUUGGGACAGAUCUGGUAGUAUAGGUCACAAGGAAAUACAAUUUUUUACAGUGGCGGAGAAAAACAUGAAAGGGAAGUUUUACCAAGUGUUGUCAAGUUUUAACCAAUUAGUUAUAGAAUGUGGUAUGUGGAGUUUAAAUGCAGAUGGUUUGGCAUGGGAAAAAAAAGAAUACAACUCAUAAAAAUAGUAAAAAGAAUAACGUGCGAAUAUUUGUUGAAAAAGCAGAUGAAGUUAAAUAAGGAUUUAAACGUAAAUCAUCAAUGAUUGAAGGAAAAAAUGGAAUGUUAUUAACCGAAAACGGAAAAAUAGCAGACGAGUUAAAAAAAUAUUUAAUGCCCUGUUAAACCAACAUAGUGAAAAUACUAUUAUAGAAGAAUGCGACUCAGAAGAGCAAAACAUAGAACCAUCAAGAACAGAGGUAGAAGUUGGUUUGAAAAUGCUCAAAAACGGAAAGGCGGCUGGAGAGGAUGAAAUUAUUUUUUAAUGCCUCAAAAAAGGAGGACAACAAUUAACUAAUCAGAUACACAAUUUCAUUAUUAAAGUAUCGGAACAUGAUUAAAUACCAUGCCCGUGGCUUAUAUCUGUUUUAUGUCCAGUUUUUAAAAUAGUAGACCCUAUGGAUUGUACAAAUUAUAGGGGAAUCUUGAUCUUGUCCUGUCUUAAAUUCUACUCAGGCAAGUAGUUGUUGAAGCAAUGGGCCCAAAUGGCCUAUAAAACGCAUCGAAGAAGAAGAAUACUUAUAUAUAUAUGUAUAAAAAUAUUUGACGGUAUUCAAAAACCAUACAACUUAAUAUAACAAUAUUUACCUAGUAAACGACGUCGAAUUAUACUUUGUAAAGCUUUAAAAACGAUUUUUCUUCUCUUAUUUGUAAAGGAAAUCAGUUCAUCGGUACCUAUGAAAAUGAUUAUUAAAUGACCCGUGUUGCGAAGAAAUCAUAAAAAUAAACAAUAUUUUAGUCGCUAUUUAUACAUAAUUGUUGCAUUGCAUUUGAAAGAAUUGUGGUAUAAAUAACUUUUUGUCCAACCACUUAUAAGCGUCGAUACUCAACAAAUCUAUUCUUUGUAUACUUGGAAUUCAAAGAAUAUAAUUCACAUCAAUAGUGUAGCCAACUUUAGGUUGAUGAGGUGAAAUAAUAUUCAUUUUUCUAUUUAAUUUACAAACAUAUCGUUCAAAAUAUCACCUUAAAUUGUUACUAAGUCUCACUCUCCCUCCCUCUUUCCUCGAAAAAAUUCGAAUUUUUUAAAAUUAUUAUAAUAUGAUAUACAAAAUAAAUAAAUCAAAUCACAUAUGAAGCAAUUAUCAACUCUAAAUAGAGGCUGUUAACUAUCAAAAAAUCGUAAUUACAUCUUCCAUAUGCUUCUAUUGUAAUUUCUGUAACAAAUACAUUAAAAUAUUAUUAAGCAGUUAAUAAAUCCCAGUUGACAUAUUUUAUACAUAUCAUUCACUCUAUAACUGAAACU
This is a long non-coding RNA of Adelges cooleyi (spruce gall adelgid), 4438 nucleotides long. RefSeq lists it as uncharacterized. The record is from RefSeq and is a predicted model, not a curated record. NCBI's taxonomy places the organism in Eukaryota, Metazoa, Arthropoda, Insecta, Hemiptera, Adelgidae. The transcript is spliced from 4 exons.